GCUGGGCGUGGUGGCUCAUGCCUGUAAUCCCAGAACUUUGGGAGGCUGAGGUGGGAGGAUCACCUGAGGUCAGGAGUUUGAGACCAGCCUGGCCAACACGGUGAAACCCCGUCUCUU
Molecule: non-coding RNA, 117 nt
Filed under: Homo sapiens (human)
Lineage: Eukaryota; Metazoa; Chordata; Mammalia; Primates; Hominidae
Source: Rfam by way of RNAcentral